Paramisgurnus dabryanus is the source of this 408-nucleotide long non-coding RNA. RefSeq lists it as uncharacterized. The record is from RefSeq and is a predicted model, not a curated record. Lineage: Eukaryota; Metazoa; Chordata; Actinopteri; Cypriniformes; Cobitidae.
AUUAAAUAAGACUUUACAUUAAAUUGUGUUAACAAGCACAAAAAUACUAGUAAGUAAUACUAUACUAAUAUGUAUUAUGUUGUACUCUCUGAAUAUGAUGAUGUAGAUUGCAAUGCAUCUUGGAAACAGUAGUCAGUUAACAGCAACAGCGUUCAAUCCGCUUUAUGAAAAGGACUACCUUUCCCAUAAUGCUACAGCUUACAAGAGGACCCGGAAGUCGCAUGAAAUUCAAACUGCCACACUUGACGACGCGUGAUCUUUGUUUUGUCUUUAUAUAAUACUGUAAGAAGUCAUGUACCACACAUUGUCAAACCUGAAGAAGUGUAUCUUCCUGCAAUCUGGGCUCCAGACCUGGAGAUUGAAGUUCCUAAAGGUUGAUGUUUAUCAAGCUUGUGACCUUAUUGCAUG